This is a long non-coding RNA of Bos taurus (domestic cattle), 1375 nucleotides long. The record is from Ensembl. Lineage: Eukaryota; Metazoa; Chordata; Mammalia; Artiodactyla; Bovidae.
AUCCCGACAACCUAGAUCCGUCCCAGUGUCAGGGCCUCCCCACUGCUGCUCGUCCACGCAGGUCAGCUGGGGGCCCAGACCCAGGCCCAGGGGACAGCCCCAUGGCUCUGGCAGAAGAAAGGGGACUCUGGACACCCUCGCACCAGCCGUGAAACGCUCUGCCCAGGAGGGAAGCCGUCAGCUCUGCUCACAGCUAGCUCACUGGCCUGACUGUCACCUGCUCUGCUCAGCAAGGGGACCUGGAAGUGCCCAGAAGACUGAGAGCCUGAACUGGGAAGGGACAGCCCCAGUGACCAGCACACUGCUCGUCAGCUGUGUGACCACAGGCCAGAUGCUGUCUGGGCCUGCGUUUCCUCCUCUAGGCAAUGGAGAGAAGACGGUCUUCUGCCUCCAGAGCUGCCAUGAGGACCAGCAUGGAGCCUCAGCAACUCAUAAGGCAUCUUUGAGCCAGAGCCCCGGCGGCCUGGCUGAGCCACACGGGGAAGGCCUUUCCGAGCCAAGCGUGGAGCCCAGGUCCUCACACAGCGGCCUCUGUCCUCCCGGCUGAGCGCGCUCAAGGCCCGGCCCCCGCACUACUGUCAUGGGACCAGUGGCUUCACUUCUCUGGACCCAGGGACGGGGUGGGCGGAAGAAGCUAGUUGGUUGAGACCAUGGGAUCUGUCAUCCAGGCCUGGAGCAGUGCCGGGCAGGGAGGCUCCCCUGUACCCUGGCUUCCUCAGGGUGGGCUUCUCAUGGGAGACACCCACCCCACUCUGAACUGAAGGGCAGCCUGAAAUUGGCAAGGCAUCUCAAGUGGCUGGGUGGAGCCACUUAGGCUCUGCUGCAUCAGGACACACGGUGCAGUCACGUGGCCUUUUCCAGUUGGGUUUGGCCAGACCUGGUUUGCCCCCUCCCCUCCCCACGCCCCACAGAAGCAUCAGGACCAGGUCCCGGGGUGGCUUAAGGGCUCUGGAUGGGUGGCAUGAACAGCUACAGCUCUCAGCAUAGAAAGAGCGGUGAGACCCCAUCACCUUGGGUGCAUUUUCAAUGAAAGUAACUUGAUUCAAACAACAGCAUAAGUAUUGUUGAACUGAACUGAUCAUUUACUAAUCAUAAGCAUUUAAAGGCUCUUGUUAUUUAGUCGCUCAGUUGUGUCCGAUUCUUUGUGACCCCAUGGACUGUAGUCUGCCAGGCUCCUUUGUCCAUGGAAUUUUCCAGGCAAGGUGUACCAUGUCAAGAAAUCCGGGUACCUAGUUACAACUGGUACUUUUGUCCUGUUGAGGCCUCAUGAUUAUCAACAACUGUAACUAAAGCUUAGUUUUCAGUAGCCCCAGGACACCUGCUCCUGGCAAAGCUCUGGACCCUCCUUCCACGGGGCUCCUGCAGGACUCCAGAC